Molecule: ribosomal RNA, 1249 nt
Filed under: metagenome
Description: bacterial LSU rRNA
Rfam family: Bacterial large subunit ribosomal RNA
Source: RNAcentral
CGAUACGACCGUACCGCAAACCGACACUGGUGCGCGAGAUGAGUAUUCUAAGGCGCUUGAGAGAACUCAGGAGAAGGAACUCGGCAAAUUGACACCGUAACUUCGGAAGAAGGUGUGCCCUAUUAGUGUGUAGUGAACAACGAAGCAUGAAUGGGUUGCAAAAAAUCGGUGGCUGCGACUGUUUAUUAAAAACACAGCACUCUGCAAACACGAAAGUGGACGUAUAGGGUGUGACGCCUGCCCGGUGCUGGAAGAUUAAAUGAUGGGGUGCAAGCUCUUGAUUGAAGUCCCAGUAAACGGCGGCCGUAACUAUAACGGUCCUAAGGUAGCGAAAUUCCUUGUCGGGUAAGUUCCGACCUGCACGAAUGGCGUAACGAUGUCCACACUGUCUCCUCCUGAGACUCAGCGAAGUUGAAAUGUUUGUGAUGAUGCAAUCUCCCCGCGGAAAGACGGAAAGACCCCAUGAACCUUUACUGUAGCUUUGUAUUGGACUUUGAACAGAUCUGUGUAGGAUAGGUGGGAGGCUUUGAAGCAGGGUCGCUAGAUCUUGUGGAGCCAACGUUGAAAUACCACCCUGGUGUGUUUGAGGUUCUAACCUAGGUCCAUUAUCUGGAUCGGGGACAGUGCAUGGUAGGCAGUUUGACUGGGGCGGUCUCCUCCCAAAGCGUAACGGAGGAGUUCGAAGGUACGCUAGUUACGGUCGGACAUCGUGACGAUAGUGCAAUGGCAUAAGCGUGCUUAACUGCGAGACUGACAAGUCGAGCAGAUGCGAAAGCAGGACAUAGUGAUCCGGUGGUUCUGUAUGGAAGGGCCAUCGCUCAACGGAUAAAAGGUACUCUGGGGAUAACAGGCUGAUACCGCCCAAGAGUUCAUAUCGACGGCGGUGUUUGGCACCUCGAUGUCGGCUCAUCUCAUCCUGGGGCUGUAGCCGGUCCCAAGGGUAUGGCUGUUCGCCAUUUAAAGAGGUACGUGAGCUGGGUUUAAAACGUCGUGAGACAGUUUGGUCCCUAUCUUCCGUGGGCGCUGCAGAUUUGAGGAAGCCUGCUCCUAGUACGAGAGGACCGGAGUGGACACACCUCUGGUGUAUCGGUUGUCACGCCAGUGGCAUUGCCGAGUAGCUAAGUGUGGAAGAGAUAACCGCUGAAAGCAUCUAAGCGGGAAACUCGUUUCAAGAUGAGAUCUGCCGGGGCCUUGAGCCCCCUAAAGAGUCGUUCAAGACCAGGACGUUGAUAGGUCAGGUGUGGAAGCG